UAGUCCACGCCCUAAACGAUGAAUGUUAGAUGUCGGUUUUUUAAAAAUCGGUGUUGCAGCUAACGCGUUAAACAUUCCGCCUGGGGAGUACGGUCGCAAGAUUAAAACUCAAAGGAAUUGACGGGGACCCGCACGAAGCGGUGGAUUAUGUGGUUUAAUUCGAAGAUUACGCGCAGAACCCUACCCGUUCUUGACAUGGUCUUUGUGGGGGUGUAGAAAUACACUUCUUCAGUUCGGCUGAGGGAUCACAGGUGCUGCAUGACUGUCGUCAGCUCGUGUCGUGAGAUGUUGGGUUAAGUCCCGCAACGAGCGCAACCCUUUCUUUUCGUUGCCAUCAGGUUAUGCUGGGCACUGGAAAAGGACUGCCUGUUUUAAGCAGGAGGAGGGUGGGGAUGACGUCAAGUCCUCAUGGCCCUUAUGGACGGGGCUACACACGUAAUACAAUGGGAGUGACAGAGGGAAGCGAAAGGGUGACCUUUAGCAAAUCUUCAAAAGCUACUCUCAGUUCGGAUUGUUCUCUGCAA
Molecule: ribosomal RNA, 524 nt
Filed under: uncultured bacterium
Lineage: Bacteria
Description: bacterial SSU rRNA
Rfam family: Bacterial small subunit ribosomal RNA
Source: RNAcentral